Molecule: transfer RNA, 63 nt
Filed under: Spirobolus bungii
Lineage: Eukaryota; Metazoa; Arthropoda; Diplopoda; Spirobolida; Spirobolidae
Description: tRNA-Asn
Source: RNAcentral
UUAGUAAAAGCCAAAAAUAGGCAAGCUACUGUUAAUAGCUAAUUGAAGUCAAUUCUUACUAAA